AGACCUACUGGAACCUCACUGUUAUAGGCUACACUUGGGAAAACCAUCAUAUUGAAAGACAUUGUCAAAGUUCAAGAAGAAAUGAAAGGUCUAUGAGGAACAAAAAGUCAAACAGUGUGAAUGCAAUGUGGAAACCUUUCAUCUGUUAUUCUUCUUUUAAUAUAUAUAUCAUGUGUCACAAUGGAUAAAAGCCAUGUGAGCAUAGGGAUAUUGAAAGAAGCAAAGUACCGCAUUCUAUCCCAAAACUGUGAGAAAAUUGUCAGAUUCUAUCUUUGGUAGACAUUCUGAAUAUGAUAAAAGUUUGCAAUCAAUUGGUUUUCUAAUUUUACUGGGAACUUCCCUAAGCUCAUACUGUAGAAAAUCUUUAUGGGUACUAGGAAUUUGGAAAUUCUUUUGUUUGUCCUGGUUCGCAGUCAAAUGUGGUACAAUUCACGCUACAGGAAAAAUUACGAAACCAAUUACUGUUAUAAAGCUAUGAGUUGUUCUAUUUUCCUCAUAUAGAUGAAAUACAUCAUAUAAAAAUCCCAUAUAAAAAGGAUGUUAUAAAUGUCAGCCAUGUAAUAACCAUCACAGAUAUCUCGAAAGAUGCAAAACAACCCAUAAUGAGGGAGAACCCCAUGAACAUAUGAAGUGAUAAAACCAGAUGAUCUGGUCCACCUUUAUCAGUAGACUAAUUUGUAAACUUUAUUCAUCUUGAUGAAAUGACUGAACAGGGAAAUUAAUGUAG
Long non-coding RNA from Mus musculus (house mouse), 727 nucleotides. RefSeq annotates it as predicted gene, 40856. The record is from RefSeq and is a predicted model, not a curated record. The transcript has 3 exons. Lineage: Eukaryota; Metazoa; Chordata; Mammalia; Rodentia; Muridae.